Long non-coding RNA from Ornithodoros turicata, 491 nucleotides. RefSeq lists it as uncharacterized. The transcript is spliced from 3 exons. NCBI's taxonomy places the organism in Eukaryota, Metazoa, Arthropoda, Arachnida, Ixodida, Argasidae. The record is from RefSeq and is a predicted model, not a curated record.
UUCCCGCUUUUGAUUCUUUUGAUUCCGUCAGACGAUGGAACGCAGUCAAGGGCGAUCGAGCCUCAGAUGUGUGUCUUCCAGAUGCGCUGAGUUUGCCGUUGUCCAGUGCGUGAACGUUGACGGCGUGCAAUCAGAUGUAUCGGGAUACACGGAGCUGUCCGACUGCGUGUAUUCGUCCUGUGAUGUCUGAAAGAGUUAACAUAUGUGGACAUUUUUGCAAAGGACCAGUUCCUAAUGAGGUCUCCAGUGACACUCGGUGUGGAUCGCCGCAAUUAGAGUUCUUCAAGGAGUUUUCCGCCCACGAAAGGACCUUCCAGAUUAACGUUCCACUCUCGGACUACCCAGAUUAACGUUCUAACGGUCUACUCAAAGGACAGGACAGCGUCCGUAGUUGGGAGCCUGUGAUAGUGGCUUGGUAAACACAGCCAGCGGUCAACACGUCUGAAGUAUUCACUACACAAGAACGAAGAGAAAGCGGAAUUGAAAAAAAA